Molecule: ribosomal RNA, 432 nt
Filed under: uncultured bacterium
Lineage: Bacteria
Description: partial 16S ribosomal RNA
Rfam family: Bacterial small subunit ribosomal RNA
Source: RNAcentral
AACGAACGCUGGCGGCAUGCCUAACACAUGCAAGUCGAACGAGACCUUCGGGUCUAGUGGCGCACGGGUUCGUAACGCGUGGGAACCUGCCCUUAGGUUCGGAAUAACUCCCCGAAUGGGGUGCUAAUACCGGAUAAUGUCUUCGGACCAAAGAUUUAUCGCCUUGGGAUGGGCCCGCGUUGGAUUAGCUAGUUGGUAGGGUAAAAGCCUACCAAGGCGACGAUCCAUAGCUGGUCUGAGAGGAUGAUCAGCCACACUGGGACUGAGACACGGCCCAGACUCCUACGGGAGGCAGCAGUGGUGAAUAUGGGACAAUGGGCGAAAGCCUGAUCCAGCAAUGCCGCGUGAGUGAUGAAGGCCUUAGGGUUGUAAAGCUCUUUUACCCGGGAUGAUAAUGACAGUACCGGGAGAAUAAGCUCCGGCUAACUCCGU